Molecule: ribosomal RNA, 515 nt
Filed under: uncultured bacterium
Lineage: Bacteria
Description: partial 16S ribosomal RNA
Rfam family: Bacterial small subunit ribosomal RNA
Source: RNAcentral
GACGAACGCUGGCGGCGUGCCUAAUACAUGCAAGUCGAGCGGACUGAGUAAGAGCUUGCUCUUAUGACGUUAGCGGCGGACGGGUGAGUAACACGUGAGCAACCUGCCCUGUAGAUCGGGAUAACACCGAGAAAUCGGUGCUAAUACCGGGUAAUAUCUGAGAUCACAUGAUCUUAGGUUAAAAGAUGGCUCCGGCUAUCACUACAGGAUGGGCCCGCGGCGCAUUAGCUAGUUGGUAAGGUAAUGGCUCAGCAAGGCGACGAGGCGUAGCCGACCUGGGAGGGUGAUCGGCCAGACUGGGGCUGAGACACGGCCCAGACUCCUACGGGGGGCAGCAGUAGGGAAUCUUCCGCAAUGGACGAAAGUCUGACGGAGCAACGCCGCGUGAGUGAUGAAGGGUUUCGGCUCGUAAAGCUCUGUUGUUAGGGAAGAACAAGUACCGUUCGAAUAGGGCGGUACCUUGACGGUACCUAACCAGAAAGCCACGGCUAACUACGUGCCAGCCGCCGCAGUAA